Molecule: ribosomal RNA, 497 nt
Filed under: uncultured bacterium
Lineage: Bacteria
Description: partial 16S ribosomal RNA
Rfam family: Bacterial small subunit ribosomal RNA
Source: RNAcentral
GAUGAACGCUGGCGGCGUGCCUAAUACAUGCAAGUCGAGCGAACAGAUGAGGAGCUUGCUCCUCUGACGUUAGCGGCGGACGGGUGAGUAACACGUGGAUAACCUACCUAUAAGACUGGGAUAACUUCGGGAAACCGGAUCUAAUACCGGAUAAUAUAUUGAACCGCAUGGUUCAAUAGUGAAAGACGGUUUUGCUGUCACUUAUAGAUGGAUCCGCGCCGCAUUAGCUAGUUGGUAAGGUCACGGCUUACCAAGGCAACGAUGCGUAGCCGACCUGAGAGGGUGAUCGGCCACACUGGAACUGAGACACGGUCCAGACUCCUACGGGAGGCAGCAGUAGGGAAUCUUCCGCAAUGGGCGAAAGCCUGACGGAGCAACGCCGCGUGAGUGAUGAAGGUCUUCGGAUCGUAAAACUCUGUUAUUAGGGAAGAACAAAUGUGUAAGUAACUAUGCACGUCUUGACGGUACCUAAUCAGAAAGCCACGGCUAACUACGUG